UCAAGCACCAGCAACGUCACCAACAGCAACACCAGCACCACCCACACCAACUUCUUCUCCACCGCCAGCAACCACUCCUCCACCAGUUUCAGCCCCACCUCCUGUUACCCAAUCUCCACCUCCAGCUACCCCUCCUCCAGUUUCAGCCCCACCACCUGCCACCCCUCCUCCCGCAACCCCACCACCAGCAACUCCUCCUCCCGCCACCCCACCACCAGCAACCCCACCACCUGCUACUCCUCCACCAGCAACCCCUCCUCCCGCUGUUCCUCCACCAGCUCCAUUGGCAGCUCCACCAGCUCUUGUUCCAGCUCCAGCUCCCAGCAAGCCUAAGUUGAAGUCUCCAG
Molecule: long non-coding RNA, 347 nt
Filed under: Populus trichocarpa (black cottonwood)
Lineage: Eukaryota; Viridiplantae; Streptophyta; Magnoliopsida; Malpighiales; Salicaceae
Description: long non-coding RNA (PTRI_LNC002324)
Source: RNAcentral